Molecule: ribosomal RNA, 326 nt
Filed under: uncultured bacterium
Lineage: Bacteria
Description: bacterial SSU rRNA
Rfam family: Bacterial small subunit ribosomal RNA
Source: RNAcentral
AAUCAACGCUGGCGGCGUGCCUAACACAUGCAAGUCGAACGCGACUGGGGCUUCGGCCUCAGUUGAGUGGCGAACGGGUGAGUAACACGUGGGUGACCUACCUUCGAAUGGGGGAUAACGUCCCGAAAGGGACGCUAAUACCGCAUAACAUCCUGCCUUUGACAGGCGGAAGAUCAAAGCCGGGGAUCGCAAGACCUGGCGUUUGAAGAGGGGCCUGCGUCCGAUUAGCUAGUUGGUGAGGUAACGGACGUCACCAAGGCGACGAUCGGGUAGCCGGCCUGAGAGGGCGGGACGGCCACACUGGGACCUGAGACACGGCCCAGACU